GGUUAAGCGAAUAAGCGUACACGGUGGAUGCCUAGGCAAUCAGAGGCGAUGAAGGACGUGCUAAUCUGCGAUAAGCGUCGGUAAGGUGAUAUGAACCGUUAUACCCGACGAUUUCCGAAUGGGGAAACCCAAUAUCCAAUGGAUAUUAUCAUUAACUGAAUACAUAGGUUAAUGAAGCGAACCGGGAGAACUGAAACAUCUCAGUACCCCGAGGAAAAGAAAUCAACCGAGAUUCCCCUAGUAGCGGCGAGCGAACGGGGAACAGCCCAGAGUCUUAAUCAAUAGCAGCAUCAGGAGAACGGUCUGGAAAGUCCGGCAGUAAAGGGUGAUAGCCCCGUAUCCGAAGAUGCUGUUGUUGUGAACUCGACGAGUAGGGCGGGACACGUGUUAUCCUGUCUGAAUAUGGGGGGACCAUCCUCCAAGGCUAAAUACUCCUGAUUGACCGAUAGUGAACCAGUACCGUGAGGGAAAGGCGAAAAGAACCCCGGCGAGGGGAGUGAAAAAGAACCUGAAACCGUGUACGUACAAGCAGUAGGAGCCCCACCACUAAGCUAGUGGUGAACUCACAGCGAUUCUUUUGCAUGAUAAUGUGCGGUAGACGGAGCGAAUGCGACGUCCAACCAACAAAAUCAAGCAGAGGAGGCUUAGUGGUGGGGUGACUGCGUACCUUUUGUAUAAUGGGUCAGCGACUUAUAUUCUGUAGCAAGGUUAACCGUAUAGGGGAGCCGUAGGGAAACCGAGUCUUAACUGGGCGAAUGAGUUGCAGGGUAUAGACCCGAAACCCGGUGAUCUAUCCAUGGGCAGGUUGAAGGUUGGGUAACACUAACUGGAGGACCGAACCGACUAAUGUUGAAAAAUUAGCGGAUGACUUGUGGAUGGGGGUGAAAGGCCAAUCAAACCGGGAGAUAGCUGGUUCUCCCCGAAAGCUAUUUAGGUAGCGCCUCGUGAACUCAUCUUCGGGGGUAGAGCACUGUUUCGACUAGGGGGUCAUCCCGACUUACCAACUCGAUGCAAACUGCGAAUACCGAAGAAUGUUAUCACGGGAGACACACGGCGGGUGCUAACGUCCGUCGUGAAGAGGGAAACAACCCAGACCGCCAGCUAAGGUCCCAAAGUCAUGGUUAAGUGGGAAACGAAGUGGGAAGGCUCAGACAGCCAGGAUGUUGGCUUAGAAGCAGCCAUCAUUUAAAGAAAGCGUAAUAGCUCACUGGUCGAGUCGGCCCGCGCGGAAGAUGUAACGGGGCUAAACCAUGCACCGAAGCUGCGGCAGCGACACUAAGUGUUGUUGGGUAGGGGAGCGUUCUGUAAGCCUGCGAAGGUGUACUGUGAGGUAUGCUGGAGGUAUCAGAAGUGCGAAUGCUGACAUAAGUAACGAUAAUGCGGGUGAAAAACCCGCACGCCGGAAGACCAAGGGUUCCUGUCCAACGUUAAUCGGGGCAGGGUGAGUCGACCCCUAAGGCGAGGCUGAAAAGCGUAGUCGAUGGGAAACGGGUUAAUAUUCCCGUACUGGUGGUAACUGCGAUGGGGGAACGGAGAAGGCUAGGUUGUCCGGGCGACGGUCGUCCCGGUUCAAGCAUGUAGGCAGAGUGAUUAGGCAAAUCCGGUCACUUAAUGCUGAGGUGUGAUGACGAGCCACUAAGGUGGUGAAGCAAUUGAUGCCCUGCUUCCAGGAAAAGCCUCUAAGCUUCAGGUUACCAACAAUCGUACCCCAAACCGACACAGGUGGUCAGGUAGAGAAUACUCAGGCGCUUGAGAGAACUCGGGUGAAGGAACUAGGCAAAAUGGUGCCGUAACUUCGGGAGAAGGCACGCUGGCGGUAAGUGAAGUCCCUUGCGGACGGAGCCGAAGCCAGUCGAAGAUACCAGCUGGCUGCAACUGUUUAUUAAAAACACAGCACUGUGCAAACACGAAAGUGGACGUAUACGGUGUGACGCCUGCCCGGUGCUGGAAGGUUAAUUGAUGGGGUUAUCCUUAGGGAGAAGCUCUUGAUCGAAGCCCCAGUAAACGGCGGCCGUAACUAUAACGGUCCUAAGGUAGCGAAAUUCCUUGUCGGGUAAGUUCCGACCUGCACGAAUGGCGUAAUGAUGGCCAGGCUGUCUCCACCCGAGACUCAGUGAAAUUGAACUCGCUGUGAAGAUGCAGUGUACCCGCGGCAAGACGGAAAGACCCCGUGAACCUUUACUAUAGCUUGACACUGAACAUUGAGCCUUGAUGUGUAGGAUAGGUGGGAGACUAUGAAGUGUGGACGCCAGUCUGCAUGGAGUCAACCUUGAAAUACCACCCUUUAACGUUUGAUGUUCUAACCUAGGCCCAUAAUCUGGGUCGGGGACCGUGUCUGGUGGGUAGUUUGACUGGGGCGGUCUCCUCCUAAAGAGUAACGGAGGAGCACGAAGGUUGGCUAAGCAUGGUCGGACAUCAUGCGGUUAGUGCAAAGGCAUAAGCCAGCUUGACUGUGAGAGUGACGGCUCGAGCAGGUACGAAAGUAGGUCUUAGUGAUCCGGUGGUUCUGAAUGGAAGGGCCAUCGCUCAACGGAUAAAAGGUACUCCGGGGAUAACAGGCUGAUACCGCCCAAGAGUUCAUAUCGACGGCGGUGUUUGGCACCUCGAUGUCGGCUCAUCACAUCCUGGGGCUGAAGUAGGUCCCAAGGGUAUGGCUGUUCGCCAUUUAAAGUGGUACGCGAGCUGGGUUUAGAACGUCGUGAGACAGUUCGGUCCCUAUCUGCCGUGGGCGUUGGAAGAUUGAGAGGGGUUGCUCCUAGUACGAGAGGACCGGAGUGAACGCACCACUGGUGUUCGGGUUGUCAUGCCAAUGGCAUUGCCCGGUAGCUAAGUGCGGAAGAGAUAACCGCUGAAAGCAUCUAAGCGGGAAACUUGCCUCGAGAUGAGUCUUCCCUGUCACCUAGAGUGACCUAAAGGAACGUUUAAGACUAAGACGUUGAUAGGCUGGGUGUGUAAGCGUAGCGAUACGUUGAGCUAACCAGUACUAAUGAACCGUGAGGCUUAACCUG
Molecule: ribosomal RNA, 3008 nt
Filed under: Proteus terrae
Lineage: Bacteria; Pseudomonadati; Pseudomonadota; Gammaproteobacteria; Enterobacterales; Morganellaceae
Description: 23S ribosomal RNA
Rfam family: Bacterial large subunit ribosomal RNA
Source: RNAcentral